Molecule: ribosomal RNA, 274 nt
Filed under: uncultured bacterium
Lineage: Bacteria
Description: partial 16S ribosomal RNA
Rfam family: Bacterial small subunit ribosomal RNA
Source: RNAcentral
AUACGGAGGGUGCGAGCGUUAAUCGGAAUUACUGGGCGUAAAGCGUGCGCAGGCGGUUUUGUAAGUCAGAUGUGAAAUCCCCGGGCUUAACCUGGGAACUGCGUUUGAAACUGCAAGGCUAGAGUGUGGCAGAGGGGGGUGGAAUUCCGCGUGGAGCAGUGAAAUGCGUAGAGAUGUGGAGGAACACCGAUGGCGAAGGCAGCCCCCUGGGUUAACACUGACGCUCAGGCACGAAAGCAUGGGGAGCAAACAGGAUUAGAUACCCCGGUAGUCC